UACGUAGGGUGCGAGCGUUAAUCGGAAUUACUGGGCGUAAAGCGUGCGCAGGCGGUUUUGUAAGUCAGAUGUGAAAUCCCCGAGCUCAACUUGGGAACUGCGUCCGAAACUACAAGACUAGAAUAUGUCAGAGGGGGGUAGAAUUCCACGUGUAGCAGUGAAAUGCGUAGAGAUGUGGAGGAAUACCAAUGGCGAAGGCAGCCCCCUGGGAUAAUAUUGACGCUCAUGCACGAAAGCGUGGGGAGCAAACAGG
Molecule: ribosomal RNA, 253 nt
Filed under: uncultured Methylotenera sp.
Lineage: Bacteria; Pseudomonadati; Pseudomonadota; Betaproteobacteria; Nitrosomonadales; Methylophilaceae
Description: partial 16S ribosomal RNA
Rfam family: Bacterial small subunit ribosomal RNA
Source: RNAcentral